This 526-nucleotide ribosomal RNA is filed under the name uncultured bacterium. RNAcentral's name for it is "partial 16S ribosomal RNA". It matches the Rfam family "Bacterial small subunit ribosomal RNA", at positions 356 to 895 of the family's 1533-position model. The record is from RNAcentral.
UGGGAAUAUUGGACAAUGGGCGAAAGCCUGAUCCAGCAAUGCCGCGUGAGUGAUGAAGGCCUUAGGGUUGUAAAGCUCUUUUACCCGGGAUGAUAAUGACAGUACCGGGAGAAUAAGCUCCGGCUAACUCCGUGCCAGCAGCCGCGGUAAUACGGAGGGAGCUAGCGUUGUUCGGAAUUACUGGGCGUAAAGCGCACGUAGGCGGCUUUGUAAGUUAGAGGUGAAAGCCUGGAGCUCAACUCCAGAAUCGCCUUUAAGACUGCAUCGCUCGAAUCCAGGAGAGGUGAGUGGAAUUCCGAGUGUAGAGGUGAAAUUCGUAGAUAUUCGGAAGAACACCAGUAGCGAAGGCGGCUCACUGGACUGGUAUUGACGCUGAGGUGCGAAAAGCGUGGGGAGCAAAACAGGAUUAGAUACCCUGGUAGUCCACGCCGUAAAACGAUGAUAACUAGCUGUCCGGGGGACUUGGUCCUUGGGUGGCGCAGCUAACGCAUUAAGUUAUCCGCCUGGGGAGUACGGCCGCAAGGUU